GACGAACGCUGGCGGCGUGCUUAACACAUGCAAGUCGAACGAUGAAGCCUAGCUUGCUAGGUGGAUUAGUGGCCAACGGGUGAGUAAUACGUGAGUAACCUACCUUUAACUCUGGGAUAAGCCUGGGAAACUGGGUCUAAUACCGGAUACGACCAAUCUCCGCAUGGGGUGUUGGUGGAAAGCGUUAUGUAGUAGUUAUAGAUGGGCUCACGGCCUAUCAGCUUGUUGGUGAGGUAACGGCUCACCAAGGCGACGACGGGUAGCCGGCCUGAGCGGGUGACCGGCCACACUGGGACUGAGCGACGGCCCAGACUCCUACGGGAGGCAGCAGUGGGGAAUAUUGCACAAUGGGCGCAAGCCUGAUGCAGCGACGCCGCGUGAGGGAUGACGGCCUUCGGGUUGUAAACCUCUGUUAGCAGGGAAGAAGAGAAAUUGACGGUACCUGCAGAGAAAGCGCCGGCUAACUACGUG
This 471-nucleotide ribosomal RNA is filed under the name uncultured bacterium. RNAcentral describes it as "partial 16S ribosomal RNA". It matches the Rfam family "Bacterial small subunit ribosomal RNA", at positions 28 to 507 of the family's 1533-position model. The record is from RNAcentral.